GCAAUAGCGGCUUAAUAUGUGGGCGAUCGGCUAAACUCCCCUUUAAAAGAAAGGGGGUGACGCCAAUGGAAACGUUUCAGGCUCUUCAAUUAAUGUUCCUAUUUGGGAUGUUUAUUUUAGCGCUUCUGACGUUCAUCCAACGAAAAUAGAUCGCCCCACGCUAAGGUUGCGAUCUUUUUCGUCACCUCUUACUUAAGCCGACCGCCAUAUAGCGCGGCUAUUGCGAGACCGUGGACGUUAGAGCGUCUGCG
This 251-nucleotide small RNA is filed under the name Paenibacillus larvae subsp. larvae. RNAcentral describes it as "BsrG". It matches the Rfam family "BsrG". From Rfam's summary of the family: bsrE, bsrG and bsrH pair through intermolecular interactions with antisense sRNAs. SR4 interaction with the 3'UTR of bsrG RNA promotes bsrG degradation and inhibits its translation. SR5 also overlaps bsrG from nucleotide 163 to 52 (Rfam overlap check). The record is from RNAcentral. Lineage: Bacteria; Bacillati; Bacillota; Bacilli; Caryophanales; Paenibacillaceae.